RNAcentral lists this long non-coding RNA (255 nucleotides) under Lathyrus oleraceus (garden pea). RNAcentral's name for it is "Pisum sativum (pea) long non-coding RNA (PSAT_LNC020408)". The record is from RNAcentral. Lineage: Eukaryota; Viridiplantae; Streptophyta; Magnoliopsida; Fabales; Fabaceae.
UCUGAGGAAGAUCAUGGAAUGGCAAAAGCUUGGAUGUGGCUAUCUUUAUUUGAUGUCUUUGCUCUUCAAGAUAAUAGAAUUGUGCAUUUGUAUGUUGCUUGAUUUUAAAAGUCCAAGGGAAUUCUGGGUUUCUAUUGACAUUCUCGUCUAUUGGAUUGCUACCCAUUGGUCAGAUCUUUUCAACUCUUAACUUUUAAUUUUGUACAUAGGAUUAGUAUCUUCAUCUUCUUCCCAUUUCUUUAAUUUCAAAAUCUC